Molecule: ribosomal RNA, 202 nt
Filed under: uncultured bacterium
Lineage: Bacteria
Description: partial 16S ribosomal RNA
Rfam family: Bacterial small subunit ribosomal RNA
Source: RNAcentral
UAGUCUGCAACUCGACUACAUGAAGCUGGAAUCGCUAGUAAUCGCAGAUCAGAAUGCUGCGGUGAAUACGUUCCCGGGUCUUGUACACACCGCCCGUCACACCAUGGGAGUCGGGAAUGCCCGAAGCCGGUGGCCCAAUCUGUAAAGAAGGGAGCCGUCGAAGGCAGGCCGGAUGACUGGGGUGAAGUCGUAACAAGGUAGC